AAUAUUGCGCAAUGGAGGAAACUCUGACGCAGCGACGCCGCGUGAGCGAUGAAGGUCNNNGGAUCNUAAAGCUCUGUCCUUGGNGAANAAGGUCUUCGGACUUGACGGUACCCAUGGGGGAAGCCCCGGCUAACUACGUGCCAGCAGCCGCGUUAAUACGUAGGGGGCAAGCGUUGUCCGGAAUUAUUGGGCGUAAAGGGUGCGUAGGCGGCCUUUUAAGUCAGAUGGGAAAGCCCAAGGCUCAACCGUGGGAUUGCAUUUGAAACUGGAGGGCUUGAGUAUCGGAGAGGGUAGUGGAAUUCCCAGUGGAGCGGUGAAAUGCGUAGAUAUUUGGAGGAAAACCAGUGGCGAAGGCGACUACCUGGACGAUUAAUGACGCUGAUGCACGAAAGCUAGGGGAGCAAACA
RNAcentral lists this ribosomal RNA (407 nucleotides) under uncultured bacterium. RNAcentral describes it as "partial 16S ribosomal RNA". It matches the Rfam family "Bacterial small subunit ribosomal RNA", at positions 360 to 774 of the family's 1533-position model. The record is from RNAcentral.